CCCUAGGGUUUGAGAAAAGGAAAAAAAAUAAUUAUAUGAAAAAAAAGGAUUGAAACCCAUUGGUUCUUCGUGCUCUAGUCGACCUCCUUGCCUCUUAUCUUCAACGCCGACAACCAUACCAAGUUUCCACCGCCCAGCUCCUCAACAUCGCUAGUUCCCAUUAGCCAGCCCCAACAUGUCACUCCACCGUCCAAACGUUGGCAUCCACAUGCGAAGGAAGACCGUCGAUCCUCGCAUGUGCAUAUCGUCUAUCGGUCGAAGCAACCAUGCACUGUCGCAUCUCCAUCGUUCUGGUGAAGUCGUCCACCGUCGCUCGCCAGACUUCUGCCUCUCAGCCCAGCCAUCUGCACCACUAUCAUUCUAUAAAUCGAGAGUGUUGUUGGAUCAUAGUCCCAGAUUUGGUUUCCCGUGUCGGUCGUUGUUAAGGUAAUGCCAGAAAACUUGCAUCACCGCCGUUUCCAUUCUGUGUCGCCAUUGAUUUGUGGAUUUUUGGAUAAGUUUGCACUUUUGGUUGGGUUUCUUUAAGGUUCUUGUUUACCCAUUGAUGUUCGGCUCCAAUUUGGUGAUACCUAUUGUGCUUUGGAUGCUAAUAAAAGUUUUAGAGUGUCGAUUAUCGUUGUCUAGCAAGAACGGUGACUGAUUGAUGAGUUGUUGGUAAGCUUAUUUUAGGUUCUUGCCAACUAAUCCAAUUAAGUUGGUAGGAAUUUAAUUAUUGAUUGGAUUUUAUAUUUUGGGUUUGAAACCUUCAGUUUGGCUUAUGUAUGGAUUGAAUUUCAUAAUUGAAGCUCAAGUGUGGUUCCGGUUAAACUGACACUUUAGGACAAAUCAAGAAUUUGACUCAAGUCGAAGAGGGAUUUGUUGCUAGUUGUUCAGCAUAAUUCGAGGUAAAUGAUUUAUUACUAGUUCGCCCUGGAACCUCAAGUUGAUGUUAAGACUAUGAAUUCACUAAAAGCAUGUUUCUAUCGUGAUGGAAUGUUCUGCCAUGAUUGACUGAUGGAUAACUGUUGAGACUAUUCUGGAAACUCAUGAGUUAUGUUACUAUGAUUAUUAUAAUAUGUGAUGGCUUGUUAUGGAUUUGGACAUUGUAUGUUGCAUUAUAAACUGAUGGUAACUGUUAGCACUUUUAGCGGAUUGUGUACAUCCCCUGUGUAUGUUUCAGCGUCCUUAUGGGAUCACCACCUAUGCUUAUGAUUUUGUGACUUUUCAGAAUCACUUCCUAUGAAAGUGUGCCUUUAGGUUCCCCCUUAUGUUUAUACCUACGCCUAUACCUAUGUUCGGGAUGCACACCUUUGUCUCGAUAAGAAGGUUAACAUAUACACCUAGUGGGCCCAGUAGUGAGUCACUUACUGAGUAUUCUUGUACUCACCUUUUUCUCUACUUUUUUUUUUCAGGUAAGGACAAAGACAACUUGAUGAAUGACAAGAAGAAUCCAUGACCGAGCCUUGGGACUUGAUAACACUUUUGCAUAUGUUUUUCUUAUGUUUUCAAGUUUUAGCUUAGUAGUUAAAAUUUUAAAUUCUUUGAAUUUUCAUUCAAUUAUUUAUUUAAUUUAUUUUUAAAUAAAGAUUAGAGAUACCCUGAAUAGUGAAUUUAUGUUAGUCGAGAUUUUAUGUUAGGAAUUUAUUUUACUAAAUUCUUUUGGAUUUUGUCAAAUUUUGUGAAAAAGUUGUUAUAUAUGCAUGUAGUAGUGGUCUGAUCCUCAUUUUAGAAAGUUGGAUAUUUACAGUUGGAAUCAGAGCCUAAGUUUUUAGGUUUUGUAGAUGAACUUAUAUUUUAAGUCCAGAAUGUCCCUAUGGCUCACCAAUGGAUUCUUUGUCAUCGCCAUGUACGUUCGAGCAAUAAAAGUAUUAUGAAAAGAUUUACAUGAAA
Molecule: non-coding RNA, 1869 nt
Organism: Benincasa hispida (wax gourd)
Lineage: Eukaryota; Viridiplantae; Streptophyta; Magnoliopsida; Cucurbitales; Cucurbitaceae
Source: RefSeq, a predicted model, not a curated record